This 522-nucleotide ribosomal RNA is filed under the name uncultured bacterium. RNAcentral's name for it is "bacterial SSU rRNA". It matches the Rfam family "Bacterial small subunit ribosomal RNA", at positions 356 to 896 of the family's 1533-position model. The record is from RNAcentral.
AGGGAAUCUUGCGCAAUGGGCGAAAGCCUGACGCAGCCAUGCCGCGUGAAUGAUGAAGGUCUUAGGAUUGUAAAAUUCUUUCACCGGGGACGAUAAUGACGGUACCCGGAGAAGAAGCCCCGGCUAACUUCGUGCCAGCAGCCGCGGUAAUACGAAGGGGGCUAGCGUUGCUCGGAAUUACUGGGCGUAAAGGGCGCGUAGGCGGACAGUUUAGUCAGAGGUGAAAGCCCAGGGCUCAACCUUGGAAUUGCCUUUGAUACUGGCUGUCUUGAGUUCGGGAGAGGUGAGUGGAAUGCCGAGUGUAGAGGUGAAAUUCGUAGAUAUUCGGCGGAACACCAGUGGCGAAGGCGACUCACUGGCCCGAUACUGACGCUGAGGCGCGAAAGCGUGGGGAGCAAACAGGAUUAGAUACCCUGGUAGUCCACGCCGUAAACGAUGAGUGCUAGUUGUCGGCAUGCAUGCAUGUCGGUGACGCAGCUAACGCAUUAAGCACUCCGCCUGGGGAGUACGGUCGCAAGAUUA